UUAGCCCUAAACACAGAUAAUUACAUAAACAAAAUUAUUCGCCAGAGUACUACUAGCAACAGCUUAAAACUCAAAGGACUUGGCGGUGCUUUAUAUCCUUCUAGAGGAGCCUGUUCUAUAAUCGAUAAACCCCGAUAAACCUCACCAAUUCUUGCUAAUACAGUCUAUAUACCGCCAUCUUCAGCAAACCCUAAAAAGGAAAAAAAGUAAGCGUAAUUAUGAUACAUAAAAACGUUAGGUCAAGGUGUAACCUAUGAAAUGGGAAGAAAUGGGCUACAUUCUCUACACCAAGANAAUCAAGCACGAAAGUUAUUAUAAAACCAAUAACCAAAGGAGG
RNAcentral lists this ribosomal RNA (337 nucleotides) under Bos taurus (domestic cattle). Its description in RNAcentral is "partial small subunit ribosomal RNA". The record is from RNAcentral. Lineage: Eukaryota; Metazoa; Chordata; Mammalia; Artiodactyla; Bovidae.